This 1638-nucleotide ribosomal RNA is filed under the name Salmonella enterica subsp. enterica serovar Thompson. RNAcentral's name for it is "bacterial LSU rRNA". It matches the Rfam family "Bacterial large subunit ribosomal RNA", at positions 1 to 1569 of the family's 2925-position model. Lineage: Bacteria; Pseudomonadati; Pseudomonadota; Gammaproteobacteria; Enterobacterales; Enterobacteriaceae. The record is from RNAcentral.
GGGUUGUGAGGUUAAGCGACUAAGCGUACACGGUGGAUGCCCUGGCAGUCAGAGGCGAUGAAGGGCGUGCUAAUCUGCGAUAAGCGCCGGUAAGGUGAUAUGAACCGUUAUAACCGGCGAUACCCGAAUGGGGAAACCCAGUGUGACUCGUCACACUAUCAUUAACUGAAUCCAUAGGUUAAUGAGGCGAACCGGGGGAACUGAAACAUCUACGUACCCCGAGGAAAAGAAAUCAACCGAGAUUCCCCCAGUAGCGGCGAGCGAACGGGGAGGAGCCCAGAGCCUGAAUCAGCAUGUGUGUUAGUGGAAGCGUCUGGAAAGGCGCGCGAUACAGGGUGACAGCCCCGUACACAAAAGCGCAUGUGCUGUGAGCUCGAUGAGUAGGGCGGGACACGUGGUAUCCUGUCUGAAUAUGGGGGGACCAUCCUCCAAGGCUAAAUACUCCUGACUGACCGAUAGUGAACCAGUACCGUGAGGGAAAGGCGAAAAGAACCCCGGCGAGGGGAGUGAAAAAGAACCUGAAACCGUGUACGUACAAGCAGUGGGAGCCCCACCACUAAGCCAGUGGUGAACUCCACAUACGCAUCCUUUGCUGAAGGCAAUGGUUAACGGAGCGAAAGCGACGUUCAACCGCAAAACAAGCAGAGGGGGCUUAGUGGUGGGGUGACUGCGUACCUUUUGUAUAAUGGGUCAGCGACUUAUAUUCUGUAGCAAGGUUAACCGUAUAGGGGAGCCGGAGGGAAACCGAGUCUUAAUUGGGCGUUAAGUUGCAGGGUAUAGACCCGAAACCCGGUGAUCUAGCCAUGGGCAGGUUGAAGGUUGGGUAACACUAACUGGAGGACCGAACCGACUAAUGUUGAAAAAUUAGCGGAUGACCUGUGGCUGGGGGUGAAAGGCCAAUCAAACCGGGAGAUAGCUGGUUCUCCCCGAAAGCUAUUUAGGUAGCGCCUCGUGAAUUCAUCUCCGGGGGUAGAGCACUGUUUCGGCUAGGGGGCCAUCCCGGCUUACCAACCCGAUGCAAACUGCGAAUACCGGAGAAUGUUAUCACGGGAGACACACGGCGGGUGCUAACGUCCGUCGUGAAGAGGGAAACAACCCAGACCGCCAGCUAAGGUCCCAAAGUCAUGGUUAAGUGGGAAACGAUGUGGGAAGGCCCAGACAGCCAGGAUGUUGGCUUAGAAGCAGCCAUCAUUUAAAGAAAGCGUAAUAGCUCACUGGUCGAGUCGGCCUGCGCGGAAGAUGUAACGGGGCUAAACCAUGCACCGAAGCUGCGGCAGCGACGCUUAUGCGUUGUUGGGUAGGGGAGCGUUCUGUAAGCCUGCGAAGGUGGCCUGUGAGGGUUGCUGGAGGUAUCAGAAGUGCGAAUGCUGACAUAAGUAACGAUAAAGCGGGUGAAAAGCCCGCUCGCCGGAAGACCAAGGGUUCCUGUCCAACGUUAAUCGGGGCAGGGUGAGUCGACCCCUAAGGCGAGGCCGAAAGGCGUAGUCGAUGGGAAACAGGUUAAUAUUCCCGUACUUGGUGUUACUGCGAAGGGGGGACGGAGAAGGCUAUGUUGGCCGGGCGACGGUUGUCCCGGUUUAAGCGUGUAGGUGUGUGUUCCAGGUAAAUCCGGUUCACUUUAACACUGAGGCGUGAUGA